Molecule: long non-coding RNA, 1594 nt
Organism: Octopus sinensis (East Asian common octopus)
Lineage: Eukaryota; Metazoa; Mollusca; Cephalopoda; Octopoda; Octopodidae
Exons: 2
Source: RefSeq, a predicted model, not a curated record
GAGAAACAAAUUUAGUUUGUUCAUCAACUUUCGGAUAUUAUAAUGUUGGAUUAUAUAUAUAUAAUACAGACGCUGACAUGAAUAUAAAUAUACAUAACAAUAUAUAUAUAUAUAUAUAUGAUGUAUAUAAAGAUGUGAGACUAUGAUGAUGCACACAUCAUGCACUCAGCCACCCCUCUUGUUUCCCAUCCUCUUCCAUUGUCUCUUUACAAAGAAAGAAUAGUAAAAGAAAAAAAAUAUCUUCCCAUAACAUUGUCUCAUCUUUAUAACACCUUCCAUAUUGUUUUGCCUCCUACUCCUUCCCAUUCUUCUCCUCUUGUCUUCUCUCUCUUCCUUUUCUCUCUCUCUAAGUCUCUCUUUGCUUGAACAACUUCUCUCAGUAUUGUUUCUGUCAUUAUCUCUCUCUCUCUCUCUCUCUCUCUCUCUCAACUCCCCCCCCAAAAAAAAAAUACUCCCCCCCACACAGACACCCUUCCAAAGUAGAUCCUUUUCUCUACCUCCCAACCACCACCACCACCACUACCACCCUACAACACUGUCGACUAAAUCAAAUAUCAGUAAUAUUGUUUUUAUGUAAAAGGGUUUUGGACAGUCUCAGCUUCAAAGGUAUGUGAUUUAUAUUGAUCAGAAACUGAUACGCUAACUACAUUCACAAACGACUACUAUCUUCUGUGGGGAUAUUGUCAUAUAUAUAGUAUGUGUGUGUAUAUAUAUAUGCACAUACACACAUGCACACAUACACAGAUAAAAAGACCUGCAAUAAUGAGAAAUGUGGUUUAUGUAUGCAUGAAAAAAGACUGAUCUAGAGAUAGUUUUGUUUGGAUGUGGGACGUUCAUCUCACUGGCCUGGAAUGUGAUAUGGAUUGUUGAUCCACAAAGAUUGACAUCCAAUGAGGAUAUAGUUGAUUGGUGUGUGUGUGUGUAUGUGUAUAUAUAUAUAUAUAUAUAUAUAUAUAUAUUCUAUUCAUGCCUACCAUGUCUGUCUCAAGGAUACAAUGGUGUUUUUUGGACAAUUUCAGUGACAAGUUUUUUUUUUUCUGAAAAGUGUUUGCUAGCCUCUAUCCCAGGACCUCCCCUUUACCUGGAGCCAGCUAUCAUCUCUCUUUGUAUGACAGUAACUCGGCAGGCAUCAACAUGAGAGGAAUUGAUGAGUUUCAGUAAAUUUGUAUUUCAUUGAUUUGACCCCAGAAGAAUGACAGGCCAGCUUGACAUCAGUGGGAUAUGAAAUCAGACUUCUUAGGGCAGAACAGUUACGAGACAUUUGUCUAAUAUCAGAAUUGUUCUGCUACUGGGGACACACACACAUUUGGUUUGGUGUCAGUAGACUGAAAGCAGUUACUGUAUUUGAUGAUGACAUAUAUGACAGUGUUUUCUAAAAGAAAAAAUAAUUCAAAAAUAUCCUAGAUCCUACAUGCAAAAUGGGACUACUCAUCAGCUAAUUUUGUCCCUAAUGAUCACCACUAUAGUCUAAUCCAGAAAUUAGACUGCACUUAAUAUGCCUCUGCAUCUUCUAUGCCAUGACAUUCAAUAAACAAAACCCAAUUGAUCAAAGUACCAGUUGUUUUAAUUACAAUCAAAUUAUUCAAAAUAUUGA